UACCAGCACCCCGAGUGGUCGGGACGAUUAUUGGGCCUAAAGCAUCCGUAGCCGGUCCUACAAGUCUUCCGUUAAAUCCACCUGCUCAACAGAUGGGCUGCGGAAGAUACUAUAGGGCUAGGAGGCGGGAGAGGCAAGCGGUACUCAGUGGGUAGGGGUAAAAUCCUCUGAUCCAUUGAAGACCACCAGUGGUGAAGGCGGCUUGCCAGAACGCGCUCGACGGUGAGGGAUGAAAGCUGGGGGAGCAAACCGG
Molecule: ribosomal RNA, 253 nt
Filed under: uncultured bacterium
Lineage: Bacteria
Description: partial 16S ribosomal RNA
Rfam family: Archaeal small subunit ribosomal RNA
Source: RNAcentral